Molecule: ribosomal RNA, 253 nt
Filed under: uncultured bacterium
Lineage: Bacteria
Description: partial 16S ribosomal RNA
Rfam family: Bacterial small subunit ribosomal RNA
Source: RNAcentral
UACGUAGGGGGCAAGCGUUGUCCGGAAUCAUUGGGCGUAAAGCGCGUGUAGGCGGUUCGGUAAGUCGGCUGUGAAAGUCGGGGGCUCAACCCUCGAAUGCCGGUGGAUACUGUCGGGCUAGAGUGCGGAAGAGGCGAGUGGAAUUCCUGGUGUAGCGGUGAAAUGCGCAGAUAUCAGGAGGAACACCUAUUGCGAAGGCAGCUCGCUGGGACGUUACUGACGCUGAGACGCGAAAGCGUGGGGAGCAAACAGG